AUGGUAAUUCUUGAGCCAGAUGUGAAUUUUUCCGCCAUUUGAGGUCACGUUCGGUUUAGUUUGGGAUAGCGGGACAUUUUCCGACUCUGCUGAUCACUAAGGUAUGCAAACCAUGCGUUGAUGCUUAGCAGCCGAAUAGGUUUCAGUGUGAAUGGGCCACCAAUAGAAACGCCGAAACUUUUGGCGCCAGAAUUAUUGGCGGGAAGAGAGCUGACUGGCCCAUACAGGUUAGGCUACAAGGACCACACGAACGAGGCUGUUUCACUUGACCGACAAAUACUUCCUGAACAAUCCUCACGUUCACGCUACUUCAAUGACAUAUGUUUCAAUUUGAUUUACAGUGAUGAUUUCUGAAGAAUGCAACGUGUGCAGUAAAUUUUUUUGAGAAGAAUAUUGUUUAAUAAGGAGCCAGAAUGCAUUAAAGAACAUAUUUCUGAAGAAUGCAACGUGUGCAGUAAAUUUUUUUGAGAAGAAUAUUGUUUAAUAAAAAGCCAGAAUGCAUCAAAGAGCAUAUUUCUGAAGAAUGCAACAUGUGCAGUAAUUUUUUUUCAGAAGAAUCUUGUUCAAUAAAAAGCCAGAAUGCAUCAAAGAACAUUGUCAGUACGCAGAUGUGCUUGAAAAUUGAAGAAAGAAUCUAUUAUGAACAGAGUUAAAAUUCGAAGAUGUGGAAAGAGUAUUCUACUGUGGUUCUCCAACUUAAUAUGUACGUUAACGACCGUAGCAACCGACUUGGGAAAUGUAGAAAAUGAUGAUAGGGUUCGAACGAACGCCCCUUCCCACAAUGUAGCAGCAACAGUUGGCUGUUCGACCACAUUGUGCGGCACACAUCUACAAAUACUGAUGUCGUAACGGUCCCUAAAUUCUCCAAAGACGGUUCAAAGAUACCAUACUUCCUGCAACCAUGUUUGAAAAAGGUCUUCCCAGUUGGAGGCAGUGAAAACUAUAUACUCCAUGGCCCAGAAGUUUUGGAAAAGCUUUGAAGUUAAAAAUUAAGUUUGGAAAAAAUUUUUCCAAAAUUUUUUGGAAAA
This 1028-nucleotide long non-coding RNA is filed under the name Megachile rotundata (alfalfa leafcutting bee). RNAcentral's name for it is "uncharacterized LOC105663044, transcript variant X5". Lineage: Eukaryota; Metazoa; Arthropoda; Insecta; Hymenoptera; Megachilidae. The record is from RNAcentral.